This 619-nucleotide ribosomal RNA is filed under the name uncultured bacterium. RNAcentral describes it as "bacterial SSU rRNA". It matches the Rfam family "Bacterial small subunit ribosomal RNA", at positions 1 to 659 of the family's 1533-position model. The record is from RNAcentral.
AGGGGGUUUGAUCCUGGCUCAGAACGAACGCUGGCGGCAGGCUUAACACAUGCAAGUCGAGCGCUUGAACCGGUUUCGGCCGGGAACGGAGCGGCAGACGGGUGAGUAACGCGUGGGAACCUGCCCAGGGGUAAGGAAUAACUCAUGGAAACGUGAGCUAAUACCUUAUACGUCCCCCGGGAGAAAGAUUUAUCGCCCUUGGAUGGGCCCGCGUUGGAUUAGCUUGUUGGUGGGGUAAUGGCCCACCAAGGCGACGAUCCAUAGCUGUUCUGAGAGGAAGAUCAGCCACACUGGGACUGAGACACGGCCCAGACUCCUACGGGAGGCAGCAGUGGGGAAUCUUGGACAAUGGGCGCAAGCCUGAUCCAGCCAUGCCGCGUGAGUGAUGAAGGCCCUAGGGUUGUAAAGCUCUUUCACCGGUGACGAUAAUGACGGUAGCCGGAGAAGAAGCCCCGGCUAACUUCGUGCCAGCAGCCGCGGUAAUACGAAGGGGGCUAGCGUUGUUCGGAAUUACUGGGCGUAAAGCGCACGUAGGCGGAUGAUUAAGUUAGAGGUGAAAGCCCGGGGCUCAACUCCGGAAUUGCCUUUGAUACUGAUUGUCUUGAGACCGGGGAGAGGA